Molecule: unclassified non-coding RNA, 1869 nt
Filed under: Agrilus planipennis (emerald ash borer)
Lineage: Eukaryota; Metazoa; Arthropoda; Insecta; Coleoptera; Buprestidae
Description: y+L amino acid transporter 2, transcript variant X2
Source: RNAcentral
UGCAUGGAAUGUGAAUCAAUUGACGUAUUUUUAAUUUUUAAUUAAUAUAUUUGAAUUAGCGGUUAUAAAAACUGCUUGAAAACAAUUAGUAUAAGUUGUAGACGUAAAGGUUAUGUUAUCAUAUUAAGUAGUUACAGCAGUGUACAAAGUGUUGUCGCAUAACCGCAUUUAUUACAAAGGCGCUGGUUUUAAAAUAUAAUUAGGAAACCGUUAAUAUGUCGACAAUAAAAGAUUUAAAUUCACCAACCGAAAUGAAACUGAUUAACUCCACAGAAGAAGAAGAUGAUGGGAAAGUUCGGAUGAAGAAGGAACUAGGUCUUCUUGAAGGUGUAGCGAUAAUUUUAGGAAUUAUUUUAGGCUCAGGAAUUUUUAUUUCGCCGAAAGGUAUAACUGAAGAAGUAGAUGCACUAGGAACAUCUUUGGCUGUUUGGGUUGUAUGUGGCCUGUUAUCGAUGAUAGGAGCCCUGUGCUAUGCAGAAUUGGGGACUUCAAUACCAAAAUCUGGAGGUGACUAUGCCUACAUAUAUGAAGCUUUUGGGAACCUACCAAGUUUUUUAUACUUGUGGGCUGCUAAUUUAAUUUUUGUGCCUACAACAAAUGCUAUUAUGGCUUUAACUUUUGCAAAAUAUGUAAUCCAGCCAUUCUUCCCUGAUUGUGAUAUUCCUAAACACUCAGAUACCCUUAUAGCAGCAUCAACUUUAUGCUUUCUUACAUUCCUUAAUGGAUAUAAUGUCAAAGCAACUACAAGAUUGCAAAAUGUAUUUAUGUUUUGUAAAAUUGGGGCCGUCGUGUUAGUGAUCCUAGUAGGAAUAACCUGGAUGGGUAUGGGACACCUCGAAAAUUUUGCCAAUCCUUUUGAUGGUGGCACAACUAAUCCGGGUAAACUUGCCAAAGCUUUUUAUUCAGGGAUAUUUUCCUAUUCAGGCUGGAAUUACCUCAAUUUCAUGACAGAAGAAUUACAAAAUCCAUACGUAAAUCUUCCUAGAGCUAUUUUCAUAUCAAUUCCCUUAGUCACCCUUGUAUAUGUCUUGGCUAAUAUGUCUUAUUUAUCAGUCCUGACUCCUGAUUUGAUGAAAGCUUCUGAUGCUAUUGCAGUUACCUUUGGAAAUAAGUUAUUGGGAAAAGGUGCUUGGACAAUACCUGUGUUGGUCGCCAUAUCGGCCUUUGGAGGACUUAGCGUUCAUAUUAUGACAUCCUCUCGGAUGCUCUUUGUGGGAGCACGAAAUGGACAUUUCCCAGCUAUGUUAGCUCACCUUAAUUUAAAAACAUUGUCCCCUGUGCCUUCUCUUUUAUUCCUGAACUUGCUGUCGUUACUGAUGUUAUGUACCAGCGACAUACAAAGUCUAAUAACGUAUUGUACAAUAGUGGAGUCAUUUUUUGUGACGCUCUCCGUGUCGGGUCUUCUGUAUCUUCGAUGGAAGCAGCCCAAUAUGCAACGCCCCAUUAAAAUUCAUCUUAUCGUUCCAGUUACGUUCGUUAUUAUUUGUAUAUUCCUCUUAAUUUUGCCGUGUGUGGAAGCGCCGUACGUGGUCGGUAUUGGAACACUUAUAACCCUUUCGGGAAUACCGGCCUACUACGCAGGAGUAUUUUGGAAAAACAAGCCAAAAUGGUUCCGGGAGAUGAUGAAGACAUUAACAGAGCUGUGCCAAAGAGUUUGCUUCUCAUCGCACGAGGAUUGACAAACUUCGGAUUUUAAUGAUUAUAAACGUUACCAGUCUUUAACAAGUAUUUUAUUAUGAAACCCAAGUGCCUGUUUUUAAGUUGCAGCACUAAAAUAAUUGCUAAUAGGAAAUAAGUCUAUGGAACUGUGUUUAUGCUCUAUGACCGUUCCUAGCCUUAAAAGUGUACUUGCAAAUUCGUAGUCUCUUA